UACAGAGGGUGCAAGCGUUGUUCGGAAUUACUGGGCGUAAAGCGCGCGCAGGCGGAUCCUGUAAGUCUGGAGUGAAAUUUCACCGCUCAACGGUGAAGCUGCUUUGGAUACUGCGGAUCUGGAGACCGGUAGAGGCUGGUAGAAUUGCAGGUGUAGCGGUGGAAUGUGUAGAGAUCUGCAAGAAUACCCGUGGCGAAGGCGGCCAGCUGGGCCGGUUCUGACGCUGAGGCGCGAAAGCGUGGGGAGCAAACAGGG
This 255-nucleotide ribosomal RNA is filed under the name uncultured bacterium. RNAcentral's name for it is "partial 16S ribosomal RNA". It matches the Rfam family "Bacterial small subunit ribosomal RNA", at positions 524 to 777 of the family's 1533-position model. The record is from RNAcentral.